Molecule: ribosomal RNA, 470 nt
Filed under: uncultured bacterium
Lineage: Bacteria
Description: bacterial SSU rRNA
Rfam family: Bacterial small subunit ribosomal RNA
Source: RNAcentral
CGGACGAACGCUGGCGGCGUGCCUAACACAUGCAAGUCGAACGGAGAAAGGGUAGCUUGCUAUCUUUUCUUAGUGGCGGACGGGUGAGUAACGCGUGGGUAACCUGCCCUUUGCAGGGGGAUAACAGUGAGAAAUCACUGCUAAUACCGCAUACCAACUUCUUUCGCAUGAAGGAAGUUUGAAAGAUUUAUCGGCAAAGGAUGGACCCGCGUUGGAUUAGCUAGUUGGUGAGAUAACAGCCCACCAAGGCAACGAUCCAUAGCCGGCCUGAGAGGGUGAACGGCCACACUGGGACUGAGACACGGCCCAGACUCCUACGGGAGGCAGCAGUGGGGAAUAUUGCACAAUGGGCGAAAGCCUGAUGCAGCGACGCCGCGUGAGGGAUGACGGCCUUCGGGUUGUAAACCUCUUUCAGCAGGGAAGAAGCGAAAGUGACGGUACCUGCAGAAGAAGCACCGGCUAACUACGUG